RNAcentral lists this long non-coding RNA (353 nucleotides) under Lathyrus oleraceus (garden pea). Its description in RNAcentral is "Pisum sativum (pea) long non-coding RNA (PSAT_LNC033686)". Lineage: Eukaryota; Viridiplantae; Streptophyta; Magnoliopsida; Fabales; Fabaceae. The record is from RNAcentral.
GGAGAACGAAAAUGAGAAUCGGUAAGUGCCACAACUCUUGAAAAACCGAGCAAGCAUAAAAAAUAUAUAUAUAAAAUAUAGAAAAGAGAAACAUCUGUUUUGUAAAUAUGAUGUGAAAGAAAAGAAAAAAUAGAAAAAAUGAAAAUGAAUGCUUGCUUGGAAGAAAAAUAGUGAAAAACAAAAAUUGAGUUGUGAAAUAAGAGUUGUGAAGGUUUCAAAUGAGAAACAAAUGGAACGAAGUUGAGAUGUGUGAAUAAUGUACAGUGAAUGUCUCUUUUGCAUCGGCAAUUUCGUUUUCAAUGGCCUUAGAAAUGACCCUUGUUUGUUAACCUAACCAAGCUUCAACCGAAAAG